Molecule: small nuclear RNA, 195 nt
Organism: Vigna unguiculata (cowpea)
Lineage: Eukaryota; Viridiplantae; Streptophyta; Magnoliopsida; Fabales; Fabaceae
Product: U2 spliceosomal RNA
Source: RefSeq, a predicted model, not a curated record
AUACCUUUCUCGGCCUUUUGGCUAAGAUCAAGUGUAGUAUCUGUUCUUAUCAGUUUAAUAUCUGAUAUGUGGACUAUUAGUUCACACGAUAUUAAAUUUAUUUUUUUAGGGAGAGGGUCAUCAAAGUAGCUUGCUACUUGGCUUCUCGAGCAUCGCCUCUGUUUUGCACUUCUGCAGAGGCCUGGUGCAUCCCAU